Molecule: unclassified non-coding RNA, 212 nt
Filed under: uncultured fungus
Lineage: Eukaryota; Fungi
Description: partial contains 18S rRNA, ITS1, 5.8S rRNA
Source: RNAcentral
GCGGAGGGAUCAUUACACAAAUAUGAAGGCGGGCUGGAACCUCUCGGGGUUACAGCCUUGCUGAAUUAUUCACCCUUGUCUUUUGCGUACUUCUUGUUUCCUUGGUGGGUUCGCCCACCACUAGGACAAACAUAAACCUUUUGUAAUUGCAAUCAGCGUCAGUAACAAAUUAAUAAUUACAACUUUCAACAACGGAUCCCUUGGUUCUGGCA